UCCCAGCAGUCCAAGUCGCAGCCACAUUUGUUGGGUCUAAAACAUCCGUAGCUCGCCAAGCAAGUCUUUGGUGAAAUCGGGACUCUUAAGGUUCCGGCGUGCCUAAGGUACUACUUGGCUAGAGACCGGGAGGCGUAAGAAGUACGUACAGGGAAGCGGUUAAAUGCGUUGAUCCUGUAUGGACUAUCAGUCGCGAAGGCGUCUUACGAGAACGGUUCUGACAGUGAGGGAUGAAGGCUAGGGGCGCAAAGUGG
Molecule: ribosomal RNA, 254 nt
Filed under: uncultured bacterium
Lineage: Bacteria
Description: partial 16S ribosomal RNA
Rfam family: Archaeal small subunit ribosomal RNA
Source: RNAcentral